RNAcentral lists this ribosomal RNA (74 nucleotides) under Pseudoalteromonas shioyasakiensis. RNAcentral's name for it is "partial 16S ribosomal RNA". It matches the Rfam family "Bacterial small subunit ribosomal RNA", at positions 1 to 74 of the family's 1533-position model. RNAcentral also lists the same sequence under 1 other name. Lineage: Bacteria; Pseudomonadati; Pseudomonadota; Gammaproteobacteria; Alteromonadales; Pseudoalteromonadaceae. The record is from RNAcentral.
UAAUUGAAGAGUUUGAUCAUGGCUCAGAUUGAACGCUGGCGGCAGGCCUAACACAUGCAAGUCGAGCGGAAACG